UAGGGAAUCUUCGGCAAUGGGGGGAACCCUGACCGAGCAACGCCGCGUGAGUGAAGAAGGUUUUCGGAUCGUAAAGCUCUGUUGUUAAGGAAGAACGAGUGUGAGAAUGGAAAGUUCAUGCUGUGACGGUACUUAACCAGAAAGGGACGGCUAACUACGUGCCAGCAGCCGCGGUAAUACGUAGGUCCCGAGCGUUGUCCGGAUUUAUUGGGCGUAAAGCGAGCGCAGGCGGUUAGAAAAGUCUGAAGUGAAAGGCAGUGGCUCAACCAUUGUAGGCUUUGGAGACUGUUUAACUUGAGUGCAGGAGGGGAGAGUGGUAUUCCAUGUGUAGCGGUGAAAUGCGUAGAUAUAUGGAGGAACACCGGUGGCGAAAGCGGCUCUCUGGUCUGUAACUGACGCUGAGGCUCGAAAGCGUGGGGAGCGAACAGG
Molecule: ribosomal RNA, 429 nt
Filed under: Bacteroidota bacterium
Lineage: Bacteria; Pseudomonadati; Bacteroidota
Description: Bacteroidetes bacterium partial 16S ribosomal RNA
Rfam family: Bacterial small subunit ribosomal RNA
Source: RNAcentral